This 738-nucleotide long non-coding RNA is filed under the name Rosa chinensis. RNAcentral describes it as "sRNA RchiOBHm_Chr4g0406671". Lineage: Eukaryota; Viridiplantae; Streptophyta; Magnoliopsida; Rosales; Rosaceae. The record is from RNAcentral.
GGAAAACCACGGAUCGAAGCCUAAACCACUCCGGCUGCAGUUUGGGACUUUUGCCGAUUCCCGGCGAUUUCGGCCACCUCCGGUCCCCAUUUCUUCGUCGAAGUUAUGAAGACGUGAGGAGGAUUCCCUCGAGGAGGGUUUGGAUCGACGGCAGGCUUAGCCGUACAUUUUUGCAGGCGAAUUAGUGGAGGUCGGGCGUACAUGACAUUUGAGGCAUAGUUGUCACUACUUCUGUAAUGUAGGAUCACUUGAUCCUUUACUCCUCUGUUAUAUCCCUGUGUAUAGUAGUAUUGCUCUGCAUAACCUUGGGAUUAGUAUUUUUGAGUUUUGUGUUUUGUGAAAGUGGAGUUGUUGGUAAUUGGGAGCAGGGUGGCUCCAGGAGUAUAAGGUUGGCUUUCUUGAAGUGUUUAGUGUGUUUUACAGGUUUUUGGGUAGUCCAUUUUAGAGGUGACUCUGCCGAAUUUUCGGUAGGGUUAUCCCUAAGGUGGGCCCCACAGGGCCACCUCGGGUUUCAGGGUGAAAUUCGGGGUGGGUCCUGUCAGUUGUUGCCGCUGUAAUACCCAUCGGAGAUCCCACCGAAGUAACCCACCGGAGAAAGGCCCAGUUGCGGACUCUGAUACCAGUUCAUAACAUCGUAAAAGAAGGAAACUAUAGAAAACUAAAGUAAAUGAAAAGCUUCAAUAUUCUUCAAUGAUGCUUACAGCAAUGGAUGCUUACUAUUUAAAUAAAUGGGUGUAG